This 429-nucleotide ribosomal RNA is filed under the name uncultured bacterium. RNAcentral's name for it is "bacterial SSU rRNA". It matches the Rfam family "Bacterial small subunit ribosomal RNA", at positions 8 to 429 of the family's 1533-position model. The record is from RNAcentral.
AGAGUUUGAUCCUGGCUCAGGACGAACGCUGGCGGCGUGCUUAAUACAUGCAAGUCGAACGAGGUUGAUCCAGUUGAAAGACUGGUGACUGCCUAGUGGCGAACGGGUGAGUAACACGUGAGCAACCUGCCCCGAAGACCGGGAUAACAGUGGGAAACCGCUGCUAAUACCGGAUACCCCCACCGGGUCCCAUGGCCUGGUGAGGAAAUGGAUUCCGCUUCGGGAGGGGCUCGCGGCCUAUCAGCUUGUUGGUGGGGUAACGGCCUACCAAGGCAACGACGGGUAGCUGGUCUGAGAGGACGAUCAGCCACACUGGGACUGAGACACGGCCCAGACUCCUACGGGAGGCAGCAGUAGGGAAUCUUGCGCAAUGGGCGAAAGCCUGACGCAGCAACGCCGCGUGAGGGAUGGAGGCCUUCGGGUUGUAAA